UGCGAUAAGGGGACCCCAAGUGCGAGGGCAUAUAGUCCUCGCUUUUCUCGACUGUAAGGCGGUCGAGGAAUAAGAGCUGGGCAAGACCGGUGCCAGCCGCCGCGGUAAUACCGGCAGCUCAAGUGAUGACCGAUAUUAUUGGGCCUAAAGCGUCCGUAGCCGGCCACGAAGGUUCAUCGGGAAAUCCGCCAGCUCAACUGGCGGGCGUCCGGUGAAAACCACGUGGCUUGGGACCGGAAGGCUCGAGGGGUACGUCUGGGGUAGGAGUGAAAUCCUGUAAUCCUGGACGGACCACCGAUGGCGAAAGCACCUCGAGAAGACGGAUCCGACGGUGAGGGACGAAAGCUAGGGUCUCGAACCGGAUUAGAUACCCGGGUAGUCCUAGCUGUAAACGAUGCUCGCUAGGUGUGGCACAGGCUACGAGCCUGUGCUGUGCCGUAGGGAAGCCGUGAAGCGAGCCGCC
RNAcentral lists this ribosomal RNA (463 nucleotides) under Haloferax sp. A2. RNAcentral's name for it is "bacterial SSU rRNA". It matches the Rfam family "Archaeal small subunit ribosomal RNA", at positions 366 to 828 of the family's 1478-position model. The record is from RNAcentral. Lineage: Archaea; Methanobacteriati; Methanobacteriota; Halobacteria; Halobacteriales; Haloferacaceae.